Molecule: microRNA precursor, 102 nt
Filed under: Marmota monax (woodchuck)
Lineage: Eukaryota; Metazoa; Chordata; Mammalia; Rodentia; Sciuridae
Source: RNAcentral
AUAUGAAUCCCCUGGGACUCUUAUUAAAAUGCACAGUCUGAGCCUAUCUGGGGAGGGGCCUGAGAUCCUGCAUUUCUGUCAAGCUCCCAGGCCAAUUUUAAG